UGUCAAGUCCUCAUGGCCCUUAUGUCCAGGGCUACACACGUGCUACAAUGGGCGGCACAGACCGGAGCGGGGCCGCGAGGCCGGGCGAAUCGGAGAAAGCCGCCCUCAGUUCGGAUUGCAGCCUGCAACUCGGCUGCAUGAAGUUGGAAUCGCUAGUAAUCGCGCAUCAGAACGGCGCGGUGAAUACGUUCCCGGGCCUU
RNAcentral lists this ribosomal RNA (200 nucleotides) under uncultured prokaryote. Its description in RNAcentral is "partial 16S ribosomal RNA". It matches the Rfam family "Bacterial small subunit ribosomal RNA", at positions 1183 to 1382 of the family's 1533-position model. The record is from RNAcentral.